This is a non-coding RNA of Odocoileus virginianus texanus, 639 nucleotides long. The record is from RefSeq and is a predicted model, not a curated record. NCBI's taxonomy places the organism in Eukaryota, Metazoa, Chordata, Mammalia, Artiodactyla, Cervidae.
AGUAACCCUCCUUUUGAACACUUAUCUUUUUGUGGUAAUGACCCUGGAGCAGUAUUUCUGGGCAGAUGGUGCUGAGGGAGUCUGGGAUCUAUAAGACCUCUGGGAGUCACAGGGCACCUCACUGCUGAUGGAGUCUCUUAAGAACAGUUAAUGACUUGCUGCUCAUUUACAGAAGAGUCCAUGUCAGCAUGUCUUUUCAACUGGUCUUUUAUAUUUCAGUAUAUUUAUUUUCUUUUCAGUUUCACAGUGACAAGCAAGAGACUGCAACCCUUACAACGUAAGAGUUGGUGAUUGGUGGGGUGAUGAGGAAGCCCAGAGAAAACCACAGAAAAGAUCUCCAAUCUUUGCCUUUAUAUGCAGCCUGACAAGUGAAGUGGAAUGCCAGCAGACUUCUCUCAACAAACUAAGAGGGGAUAGAGCAGAAAAGAAAAGGAAUGUAGCUAGAGAAAGGGUCCAGGACUUCACACAGAUGACACCCACUUAGGAAAAAACAAACAAACUUUAGCCUCAGCAGAAGCAAGACAAGCCAGAGGGCUUCUCACAGUCAAAAACUGGGAUCUAUCCUAGGCUGGAUCCAAUUAAUAAAACAAACUGAUCCCGAUUGGUUCACCCAUCUUGCCUAGAAAAAAAGUCAACUGC